RNAcentral lists this ribosomal RNA (420 nucleotides) under bacterium. RNAcentral's name for it is "partial 16S ribosomal RNA". It matches the Rfam family "Bacterial small subunit ribosomal RNA", at positions 355 to 776 of the family's 1533-position model. The record is from RNAcentral.
UGGGGGAUAUUGCACAAUGGGCGAAAGCCUGAUGCAGCGACGCCGCGUGGGGGAUGAAGGCUUUCGGGUUGUAAACCUCUUUCGCUAUCGAACAAGGCCCGCUUAGGGUGGGUUGAGGGUAGGUGGAGAAGAAGCGCCGGCUAACUACGUGCCAGCAGCCGCGGUAAUACGUAGGGCGCGAGCGUUGUCCGGAAGUAUUGGGCGUAAAGGGCUUGUAGGCGGCUUGUUGCGCCUGCUGUGAAAACGCGGGGCUUAACUUCGCGCGUGGAGUGGGUACGGGCAGGCUUGAGUGUGGUAGGGGUGACUGGAAUUCCAGGUGUAGCGGUGGAAUGCGCAGAUAUCUGGAGGAACACCGAUGGCGAAGGCAGGUCACUGGGCCAUUACUGACGCUGAGGAGCGAAAGCAUGGGUAGCGAACAGG